ACAAUCAAAGAUUUCUGCUUUCCUGUCCCAAACACAUCUUGAGUAAGAAAAGGGCCAUGUGGCAUUCCUGAAGGCACAGAAGUGCUGAUAUCAAUCAAGACCUGGGCCAGCAUGUGUCUACAUCGGGGGUCUGCUAAUUGCUCUGAAUCAUGUUAAACGUCAUCAAUGUGUUGUGUUCAGAGAUUGAGAGCACAGGGGGUUUUCUGUAUGAGAUUCAGUCUGUUACACUGAACCAAACCCUCAGUGCUGACUGUGAGCAGAGCUGGUAUUCACAGGACAGGCAUCUGAUCGCAGAUCCAUUAAAACCUCACGAACUGAUUGAUCCUGUGACGUCUGUCUCUCCUGAUCGUCUCGUCACGUCUCAGUGUGUGAAUCUGUAUCAUGAGAUCAUCUGUGAUUCUGCU
Molecule: long non-coding RNA, 404 nt
Organism: Carassius auratus (goldfish)
Lineage: Eukaryota; Metazoa; Chordata; Actinopteri; Cypriniformes; Cyprinidae
Exons: 3
Source: RefSeq, a predicted model, not a curated record